Long non-coding RNA from Falco peregrinus (peregrine falcon), 8206 nucleotides. RefSeq lists it as uncharacterized. The transcript has 3 exons. Lineage: Eukaryota; Metazoa; Chordata; Aves; Falconiformes; Falconidae. The record is from RefSeq and is a predicted model, not a curated record.
GAAAUAUCUGACAUUAAAAAUUUAGAAAUAUCAGAUCCACUGGACAUCUUAUGUGGAUGAUAAAACAUGCAUAUUUUAAAAAUUAUAAUAUGUUCAUGUUUCUGAACAUAAAGAGAAACACAAACCUCUGUUACAAAGAAACACUGCUAACUCAGUGCGUGAAGAGAACUGGGGGAAAUGGCAGAGAGUCUUUUUAUUACAAACAUUCAGUCUUCCAGAUGCACAGCAGUCACAAGUGGUUCUUUUAGCUGCUUCCACCCCUACCAGCCUCUCACUCUCACCCCAUGCCUGCCCCACUUCUGGAUGAUUUUCUCUGCUCUUCUUGCUAUGCUUUUAUUUUUAAAAAUCAUCACUUCUGGAUGAUUUUCUCCGCUCUUCUUGCUAUGCUUUUAUUUUUAAAAAUCAGUAUCUCCAAGUAAAAUUCAUGGUGUUUGUCAGCCUGCUUCUUCGAACCCUGCUUUUAUUACAUUUGGUACCUUGCCCAUUUUGAAGAUCAGGGUAGAGAUUUCUUUAUGUAUUAUAUUAUAUGACCUUGAAAAUGUCUUAUACUCAGUUCCCCUCUUUUUCAAAAUGACCUGCAUUUGGCAUCAUAACAGCACCUCAAUGUAACGUACAUUGGCCUGCUGUCAGAACUGGAGGGAAGGUACAAUGCCUGUCAAUUAUGAUUUCCUCUGCCUUUUGUUGAUGAAGCAAGUCUCCAAACACUUUCUGAAUAAAUCCACUGAGAUUACCUUUUCUGAAUUCUCUCUCUAUUAUUUAAUUCAUAUCUCCCUUCUGUGUAAAUUUUCAAUGUUAUCCAGCCGGGCUGGCUUUUCUUUUUUUUUAUUACAGUACUUUUCUGUUUUGUAGAAUAUUCCAGCUUCAGGCAUCUCACAACCUUGAUCUUUUACCAUUGCAAUUAUACUUGAUGUAUUUUAUUUAGAAAUUUAAGUUUUGCCCUUUUUUCAUUGUUGCAAGACUUAGGAAACAAGUUAUUUUCUUCAUUCACAGCAGCUGUGAUUCCAUAACAACUGUUCAGCUGAAAAAAAGUCUCCCUUUUAAAAAGUAAAUAUCUAUAUUAUAUCCAUCUAUAAAGAUGGACAAAGUUAUGUUCUGCCUUCUGUUUUGGAAUAUAUGUAAGUAAAGAGAAACAGGGAUAUAAUUAAUCUUUAAACCUCUUUGAGUAAUUAAGUAAACAGUCAACAUUUUCAAAACUUGAAGAGGGUCAAUUUACAACAAAAGUAUUUGCAACAGAGAAGAAAAAAUUGAUCAUCAGUAAAAUUUAGUCUUUAAAGGCUGAUGAUACAUUCCAAAUCAUUCUUCUAGUCUGAAGAACAGAUAUUUAAGAAAAAGGAUUUUUACAUUUAUUUCUUGAGAACUUUUAGUAUCCAGACGCUUUUGACAAUAGUUCUUACAUUUUGAUGGACUGAUGAAACACCUUCUUUUCAGCCAAAUUCUGUCCCUUAUGGCUGAUUUGAUCUUAUCAGUGAAUCUUUAAAUGUACUUUUUUGCCUUGAUACUAGAUCUUGGCUUUUUUUGAGACCAUUUGGUAAAUGCAUUUCUCUUAUCUAUGUGGCACAGUUGCUAAGUUAUUUGAAUGGAUAUAGGUUGUAAAUUCUAGCCUGCAAUGCUAAUAUUCAGAAAAGGAUGAUUAUGAGUUUUCAUUUGCUGUAGAGAUAUUAGGCUUCACAGCAGGACUUCUGCAGGUAAAACCUACUUGUUUUGAUAUCCUUGAAUGAGAAAAAAUGCUUUCACUGAGCAGCAAGGAUAAACCAUCACUUUCUGAGGGAGCGAUUGAUUUUUCAGAUGUAAAGUGAAUGAGUGAUGGUUACCCUGAAUCUACUAAGCUUCCUUAAGUAAUUUGUGAAAGAACUAUAGGAAAAACAUGCAUGUAUAUGCACAUAUAUGGACCUGGACUGAAAUUAUUAAAAAAAUUUCAGUGCUGUCUGCCUUUUUUAUAAAAAUAUUGUUAUGGGGUGAGAGGCACCCAAAAACACUGCUCAGGUAAAUAAGACAUUGAGAACCACUGCCCAGCUCAGAACUCUCCACUGGGAAAACAAACGAGGCACAAAAAAUCAUUUUGGAGAGGCUUACCAAAACCCUUGGUAGUAUGCAGCUAUGUACAGGAAAUAACAAAAAGAAGUACAAAUUAAUUCUCAAGAUAUCUACAUUCUUAUAACAUGUUUGAAGUGGGAGACCAAAAGGUAGUAGUAAAUACAGUGUUGUAUGAGAGUUUGUAUUCUGUGCAGAAAGUGUAUGUUUUGUAGGACAGAGACCUUGGAAUAGAAAUCAUAAUCAACCCGCUAUACCUAUGUUCAUUCAUAAACAAAUUUUAAAUCAUAGAAUCAAUUAGGUUGGAAAGAACCUUUAAGAUCAUCGAGUUGAACAGUUAACGUAACACUACUGUGUCCACCACUAAACCGUGUCCCUAAGUGCCACAUCUAUACAUCUUUUAAAUACCUCCAGGGGUGGUGACUCAUUCACUUCUCUGGACAGCUUGUUCCAACGCGUGACAACCUUCUUAGUGAAGAAAUUUUUCCUAAUAGCCAGUCUAAGACCUUAUGCAAUUGAGUGUUGUGGUUCUGUCCUUGUGGCCACCUCAACCCUAAAUUCCUCCAUGGCACAUCUGCUUCAUGACUUCCUAUUAAAAAAAAAAAAGAGUAUUUGAUUAGGACAGUUUGCAGUGAUGUAACACUGUAAUAGAGCAUUGCCAUUGCUGGUAACAGGCCGAGCUUUGUACUGAGUCUGCAAGGCCUCAGGGCUGACGCUUGACAGACCUGCUCUGUCUGAACUUCUGUUGACCUGCCUGCAGGUUUGGUUUGCUUGGUUUAGCUGUGACAGGAAUUUUCUUAAUUGAUCAGGUGCCUACAGCUGAUUUACUUUAUUUUUAAAACAGUACAACCAUGGUUGUAAUAAGUAGUUACUCUGUAUAGAAUGAGAUAUAUACAGCCCUAAUACAGUGGCAUUGUGUAGAGAAACACAGGUAUGGUAGGACAGGAGAGACCUGAAGAAGUGGGGACACAGGGGACACAGGAUGUGGUGUAGAGGAGCUCAGGCACAGGAGUGAUAAGAGAUGGGCUCUUGGCACUGGAGGUACCACAACUGUGAGAAAUUCUCCCAUGGUGGGUUAAAGACCUGGACCUGGGCAACAUUGGUUUUAGGGGUAACAGGAAAAAAAAAUAUCUGACAUAUGUAAAGGGAGCCAUAUGUAGUUAAUUUGGACAUAACAUCGAGCUACAAACCAAAGAAGAAAGAGCAAGGCUGUAGAAGCAUAAACAUGUCAAAAUGGCUCCAACUGGACCCUUAGAGGAAGGGAGACCCAUCAACGUGAACAUCACAGUCCUCCCUGUAAAGGACUCUAGAGGCUCACAACUCAGUGUCAAACCCCUCACCUCCAACACACACACACACACACGAAUAAAACCCACCAACCUUAGAGCCCAGAGGACCAUCAAGAGCAUGAGCACAGCACUGGGCAUAGGAGCUGCAUCUAAGAAGCAUGUGCACAAUGAUUUUAUCUGCAUUCUUUCUUUUCGUUUUAAUUUAACAAUUAGAUCUAGACUAAUAAUGAUUAGACUCUUAAUAUUUCAUGUAUACUAACAAUGAAUUCUUGGCUUUAAUUAUAUUUAAGGUGCUCUUACUGUUCUGGCCUUCAGCAGGAUUUUGAGUGCAGCAUGUUUAAGUAUCCUGUAAUUAUUUCAUAUUACUUGAUAACCAUUGCACUAUCAAGUCAUUUUAGCAGUAAAGCGUGUAUCUUACUGUCACCAAUUUUAAAGAAUUUGGGUUGAGUUAUUUUAUGUGGUUUGGGAAAAAAAAAUUAACAUAAGACUAAAAAUAGUUUAAUCAAUAACCAUCUUAAAGAAAUGUUCAUCAAGAAGUUUUCUUCCAAGAUCUACAGAGACACUACUUGAAAUCAAAUUUAAAAAAAGAAAAAAGAAAAAAACCCAGACAAACAAACAAACAAACAAACCCCCACAAAAACAGGUUGUUCAGUAGAACCAGUAAAACAAACCAAAGUUAAUGGAAUUAGUUGGUACAUUAAAUUUAUAAAGAGCAAGGUUGGUAUUGAUACUGAAAUAUGUAGAGCCUGGGUUUUUAAAAACUAUUCUGUAUUCAGUGCAAUUAAAAUCAGUGUAGAUAUGAAUAUGAUAUUAGAUGUCACAAAAGACAAAGAAGCCACUAAUAUACUUUAAAGAUACAUUUUGAGUAAAAUAUAUUUUGCAGGGAAAAUAUUUGGAUUAAUUAAGUAUGUUCAAGGAGCUAGUCAGUAGGACCCCCUGGGAAACUGUCCUCCAGGACAAGGGAGCAGAACAGAGACGGCAGAUUUUGAAGGAUGUUUUUCAUAGAGCUCAAGAGCUCUUGAUCCCCUGGUGUAAGGAAUCAGGAAAGGAAGGCAAGAGAUCAGCAUGGAUGAGUCGAGACCUGUUGGUCAAACUGAAGGGCAAGAAGGAAACACACAGGCAAUGGAAGCAGGGACAGGUAUCCUGGGAAGAGUAUAAGGACACUACUCAGUUUCAGCCAGAAAAGGAAGGUCAAAGAAAGUGUACCCCCUGCAAUUAACACAACUAGCAAACUGCUGACAAUGGAUGAUAAGAAGGUUGAGGUACUCAGCAGAUUUGUUGCCUCAGUCUUCGCUGGAAACCUCUCUUCCCACACUUCUCAAGUGGAUGGACCACAAGACAGGGACUGGAAGAUUCAAGCCCCUCCCACUGUAAGAAAAGAUCAGGUUCACGACCACCUGAGGAACUAGAAAAUACAUAAGUCUAUGGGACCUGAUGGGAUGUGUCCCAGGUCCUGAGGGAAUUGGCUGAUGUAGCUACCAAGCCACUCUCCAUGAUACUUGAAAAGUCGGGGCAGUCAGGUGAAGACCCUGGUACCUGGAAAAAAGGAAACAUUGCACCCAUUUUUAAAAAGGGUAGAAAGAAGGACCCUGGGAACUACUGACCUGUCAGCUUCAGCUCUGCACAUGUGAAGAUCAUGGAACAGAUUCUCCUAGAAGCUAUGCUAAGGCACACGAAGGUCACAGAGGUGAUUUGAGACAGCCAGCACAGCUUCACAAAGGCUAAAUCUUGCCUGCCCAACCUAGCGACCUUCUGUGAUGGAGUCACUACAUCAGUGGCAAAGGGAAGAGCUAUGGAUGGCAUCUAUCUGGACUUCGAAAAAUUUGGAUAUUCUGAACCAAAUUAUGUCCUCUGUUUCACGCAAAGCAUCAAGAGUCGCUAUGAAUACUCCACAAGAUACCUUCCUCUCCAUGUCCACAGUGAAUAGGAGAAGAAAUAAUGGGCUUAAGUGAAGCAACAGAAAUUUUGACUGGACAUUAGGAAAACUGGAAGAGAUUGCCCAAAGGAUAUUAUGAGUCUCCAAAACUGAAGGACUUUGAAGGCAGCCUAAAAAUAUAUUUGACAGGCAUGAAAUAGCUAAGUCUGAUCAUGCUACGAAGCAAAAUCAGACACUCUACAGUUCUUUUCCAGCUGGACUGUAUAAUGCUGUGUCAUUUACCUUUGAUCUACUCUAUGCUGGUCUGGGAAUGCCAGUUUCAUGGGACAGCUGCAGAUCAGUCCAUGAGAAAUGCUGUGUUUCUUUGUUUGCUUCCUAUUUAACUUCAGCCUUUUUUUGGAAUAAACCCAAAUUUUAGAAAGCUUCCCAUGAAAUUCAAACCCUAUUAUUGAGUCAGAUUUAGUUCAGAACUUAUGUCUAACACCUUCUAGGGCAGUAGCAUUCCACAGUCUCGUUAGUUUUAGGCUUCAGAAACACUUCAGAAAUCUUCCCAAGCCCACAGUUGCUUUGACAUUAUUUUCUCAGCAGCUACACAGCAAAUAGAGUUUUUUGUUUCUAUUUAAGAACAUCAGGGACAGUGUGACAGGAAAUCAAGAAGUUUAUGAUUAACAAAGGGUCAUCUUAACCACAAAAAAAGACAAAUGAAAACAAAUUUCAACAACAGCAAUCUCUUGGUUUUAGAGAAGCAGUCUGUGGAGUUACAUUCUUUUAUAAAAAAGCAAAAUAAAGACAAUGGCACUCUCAAGUAUAAAUUUAUUCUGCUUUUUGUUCAUCUAGAAGCCCAUGCUACAGUCUUGAUUCUGGUAGUGAUGCAUGCGUCACUGAACUGAUACUUUGCUAAGAAAAGUACCUGUAUUAUUAUUUUUAAGGGCUGUCAUUCUUUAUUUCAGUCAGAAAAAAAUCAAGUUUUCAAGAUUCUUUUUCUAAAAUCCAGCAGUAAAAUAUUACAGAAUUGAUCAAAGUAAUCAUCAAUAGUACUGUAGAGAAACUUUUUUUUUCCACAGGCAAGGUGCCAAUGUAGUUUUUCAAAUGUAAGGGUUAUUUUGUUCUUUUGUUGGUUUUUUUUGUGUGUGUCUUGGUAUUAAUGUUUUCUCUGACACUUGAACAGUUCUGCCAUGUAACAUUUUGACAGACAUGUUAAACUGGAGAUUACAAAGUGAAAUCUCUGAGAAUGCCACACAAAAAGAAUUAGUUAUGCUGAAGGCUUCACUUUGCUUCACUUAGACAAAAUAAAUUGGAAGGCUGUUAUGUAGAUUGUAUGCACAUUUCUCAGAUGUCUUCACAAGAGAGAUGAAGAAGCAUGCAAAGAGUAAUCAUUGAUGCAUGAAGUUCAUACAGUUUGCAGGUAUGCUGCUAUCUGAUCAACAUCUCUUUUCACAGUGGUAAGAUUUGUAAACAUUAUAUUUAUUUCUGUACAUACAGAUACAUGUAGACACAGAGGUGUGUAAUAAGUCGUGUUUUUCUAAGAAAACAGUAGCACAGCAUCUUUUUAAGACUGAUGAUGAACUCUAAUAUGUGUAGUGAUAGCAGUUUGCAACCUCAAUCAUGAUGGCAUUUGUAUACUUGACUUUGCAAUUUUUCUCAUUAGUCUUACGUACUUAUUUUUAUCUUGGGAGCACUAAUGCAAACAUGUAAAUAAAUAUAAACAAUGUUUAAAUACAGCCUCCUGUUCUAGUAGAGGGUACUAUUUGUGAAUUCAAAAUGUUUAGCUCUACUAAAUAAGAUAUAAAGCACAUGCAGUGAAUAUUAAGCACAGAAUACCAUUAAAAGCCUGUGUCAAAGAAUGCAGUAGCAAAAACGUUUCUGCCGUUCUUUAGUUUUGGCUUCUGGUGGCUGAAUAAAGGGCAGAUAGUGUUCUGACCCAGCACAGAAGGAAAUGAAAGGAAUAGAGUGAAAAGUCUGGUGGGUUUUCCAGCAUUAUGAGUUUUCCAUCAUCAUACCACUUCAGUCAUCAUGAGCAGGGUGUUCACAAGCCAAUAUGUAAAUCUACUUCACUAGAAGCAGUAUUGUGUUAAAAGAUGUUACAACAUGAGGGGUUAACCAGCCUGCAUGUAUGUAGAGAUCGCAACCAUGGCUGGAUCUCUAUCAGGAGGUAGACAAACUUAACUUAUCCCAGAAGUGGGCCCAGAGGGGUAAAAGUAAAAUAACAGACAGUUUCAUUUCAAAGAUGAUCCAUGUCAGGGAGUUCGGAUUCAGCCAGGUGUGCCCUGAAAGGGUCCAGUAUCUCAUAAGAAGUUCAUGUUGAGAAUUCAGCCUGUUUAGGAAAGGAAAAGUACAUGCCACAUGGGAAGUUCUCAGAGAGAGAGGCUACAUUUUGGAUAAAAAUUAAGAGCUUUUUAUUUCAUAGAGAAAUAAUAGGGCAUAGAACAUCACCACUUCAAGCAGCCAAUAGAUGCUGUUCAUUUCUAUUUCACCUGGGGCAGCCAAAAGUUUACUUUCUUUCAGACCAUUUUUUUUUGUUGUUGCUUUUUGUUUUUUCUAGACUGCUUUCCUGUUCUUGCAGUUAGAACAGCCAAUGGCAGGUACAGAUUCUUAUUUUGUCAGGAUGUUUUACCCUCUAUUACAUAGUAAUUUUUCACCUUUUCAAAAGAUAAGUUAUUAUAGUUCCUUAAUUUCGCAGUUCCAGUGUGUCCAGUUUCUAGGUACCGAGGUGUACUUCAAAGAUGCCAGCUGCACUUUUCAGGGAUGGUUCUGGUUCCCAGGCCUAGUUCCCAGGCUCACAGCUCCCAGGCUGGCAGGCAGUUUCUCUGUAAGUGUUUCAGCAGGCAGUUUCUUCUGUUCAGUAAAUUUCCCCUUCUGACAAGGUCUCCUAUUUGGCUGCUCACCUCAGAGGUAGAGAGAGAAAGGAGGUGUAAUUUCAAGAUCCACGUUAUUUGUGUUAUAGAACUUUCCUACCCCUUUCUGUAAAUGUCUCAAUCCAGACAGCAUUCCUGACACUGGGAAGAAUGCA